AUGAAGAGAGUUCAUGCCAAUGGACCCAAUGCAGAAUACAUAGUGAUCAAACCCAGAGAUACAACAAUGAAUAAAACUCACCCACAUCGACAUGGCACGCACGAAGAUAAUGACAUUCUGUCAGGCAAACAGAAGCAUCAUCUUGAAAAUGAGGGCUGCAAUAAACUCUCAUAUCAAGCACCAUCAUCACCAGCCCAUCCUGUUUUCGAUCCUAUUUUUUAUGGAGAGAUGAGAAAGAGCAGGGAGAAUAUGGAUGGAAAUUUGACUAGAGUACACAAACAAAGCACUCAAGACAAGUCUGUAGUCCAUGUGUCCUCUAAGCAGAAACGUAGUCCUUCCAUGGAGGUUGGCACAAAAGUGAUUCUGAAGUCCUCAGUAUAUCCAAACAAAAGGCAUGUGGCACAUGCUAGCAUUUUGGGUUGCAAUUAA
Molecule: ribosomal RNA, 429 nt
Filed under: Triticum aestivum (bread wheat)
Lineage: Eukaryota; Viridiplantae; Streptophyta; Magnoliopsida; Poales; Poaceae
Description: partial small subunit ribosomal RNA
Source: RNAcentral